UUCUCAGGUGCUCACUUAAUUGCUGAGCUUGGCCCACGUGUGCUCCACCGACUCUUAACCCCUUUAUAAAUCCGGACUAGCUCACUUUCCCAAUUCAUUUCUCAUUCAACCCUAAUCUACUCCAUCGCCACAUAUUCUCCAAUUCAUUUCUAAUUCAACGAUAAUCUACUCCAUCGCCGCUUAUUCAUCAUAGAUCGAUACAUUAGCACGGGCGAUUCCCCACUACUAUAUUGAAAAAUGGUGAUCUACAUAUGCAAAAAUUGGUAAACCUAUAACUUGCUGACUUCUUUUGUGAAAGUAUAAAAUCCCAGUUCACAUUUUAUGCCCAGAGAGCCACACAAAUCAAUCAAUUUUGAGUCAUUUUCAUGUUACACCAAGGAUUAUAAGGCCAGCAGAGAUGCUUCCUCACAUUGCAGAAUCACUCUUACUAAACCCAGGUAGUUGAUUCUUUAGGGUCCACAAUUAUUGUUUCCUACUUCACCCAAAUGGAAACUGAAGCAGAGUAUUCUUUAGGGAUUUUUCAGGACCCAAUUGUUUCCAGUGAAACCCAGAUGGAAAAUGCUCAAUCUUCAGCAAUCUUGCCUACCCUUCCAUCUGAACUCAUCAAUGAGAUCCUCCUAAGGCUUCCCGUAAAAACCCUCUUGAGAUUCAGGUCUGUUUCAAAAUCUUGGCUUGCUUUAAUAUCUAGCCCUCAAUUUAUCAACACCCAUCUCAGUUUAUCAGCUAAUAACAAGGAUUACACCCACCACAGGCUUAUCUUAAGUCUUUCUCGACCUAACAUAAAAAAUCUUAACGUCUGUUCAGUUAGGUCUUUACUUAAUGAGUCUGUCGUAGAACCAUCUGGUUUGGAUUGUCCCCUGAAAGACAAAUUUCAGAUUUUGGAUUCAGUCAAUGGGUUGAUUUGUUUUAUGGUUGGGGUAGAAGCAUUUUUUAUAUGGAAUCCAUCUAUCAGGAAGUUCAAGAAAGUUACUGCAGAAGCUGUACCGAGGUAUGGUCAGAAAGUGUUUGGUUUUGGAUAUGAUGAACUUCAGGAUGAUUAUAAAAUACUGCGUAUGUAUAUGACUACUAGCUAUGAACUUAAGGUCGAACUAUAUAGCUUAAAGAGUGACUCUUGGAGAAUAGUUGAUGAUUUUCCGGCUGGGAGGAGACAAUCUGGUUUGGCUAAGUUGGUCAAUGGGAAGCUUCAUUGGGUUAAUUUUGAUAGUCAUCCUUGGGGUAAUGAGGGGGACAUCAUUUCUUUUGAUUUGGCUGAUGAGAAAUGGGGAAAGUUGGAGAAGCCUUGCUAUAGAAAAAUAGAUUUUUGUAAUAAACUUGGAGUGUUGGGAAGUGAUCUUUGCAUGUUUAAUGACUAUGAGAACACUUUCGCGGAUGUGUGGGUUAUGAAGGAAUAUGGAGUCAAAGAGUCUUGGGCAAAAAUAUAUACCAUCAACUUUUCUCAUGAUGUUUCUAAGUAUUGUUGGUCUCCUCUUUUUUGCAAGUCAAAUGAAGGUGAAGUUCUGCUUGUGUAUGGAUCAAGAUUUAUGAUAUACAGUCCAAAGGAUGACUCGAUCAGGUAUCUAGAGCUCGCCAACUUUAAAUUCGGUUUUGAUGCGAACUUCUACGUUGAGAGCCUAGUUUGUCCUUUUGCAAACAAUCCAAGGACACAACAAUGAAGGCGCCAAGCACUCAGGUGAAUCACAAUUUGUAGCUAAUUACUUGUGAGAAUUCAGAAGUCAUUCUAUGCAACAAUAGUGGAGCAGCAAAGUGGAAUUUCAUUUUAUACUUAGUUAUUCUAGGCAGAUUAUACACAAAGGAUAUACUGAUGAAAUGAGGGCUGAUCAGUGAGAUGUUGCGUCCUCUGUGUGAAAAUGUGGGUGAAAGCAUGACCACUUGUUUUUCCUAUGUGACGACUCAAUUGUUGUAUGGGGUAAGCUGCUAACUUGGCAGGGAUAUAAUAGGAGCUGCAGGAGAUGAACAAAAGAGCUUGCAUAGAUGCUGUCAAGUGUCAAAUACCAAUGGUAGGACUGUUGCUCAGGAGAUGUUAAGAAUAGUCCUCUCUUGCUGCCUAUACACCUUGUGGCAAGAGAGGAGCCAGAGUGUGUUCCAACUUAAAAGUCGACCUCAGGAUGUCUAAUCAGGAAGAUCAUAUAGGAUGCUGUUGUUCGUGCCAGUUUGAAGCCUAGAUUAGCUAGAAGAGUUCAAGAACAUGAUUUCAACCAUUAGCUUUCUCUUUGUUGCUACUGAUGCAAUAGUAUUAGUUGUUGCCUUUUGAUCACUGAAACUGGGGACUAUGUCCUGGUUUUAGAAUCUUUAUGACUUGUACAGAAUUUCUCAGUUGGUAAAUAAUACAUUUAGUUGCCAAAAAAGACUUGUGAGAGUUCCACUUCAGUUGGUACUGAAACUGAGCUUGUCUAUUUGCUUAAACAAGUGAAGCAGUUCCUAAUGAAAGUAAUGUUUGCUACAUGUUAAAACACAGACUAUGAGUUAGGACAACCCAGCAUGUGGUGCUUCUAAAUCGAUCGUGCUUUAACUUAUCUUGUCAUGUAUCAGUCGGGUGCUUUGUUAACUGAUAUGUACUAAUGAGCUUUCAGAAAUAUAAUUGUGCAUGUUAUUUUGUGAGCAAUAGUAACUGAUUGAGGUUUGAGGUCAAGGUUUGCCCUGGUAAACGGUUGAACAAGCUUCUCCUUCCCUUGAAUGUCUGUUGUAUGUAGUAGUGUCUGCUUGGAGUUGGUCUGAGCUAGAAGUUAUAAUAAUUUCUUGAAGUGGAAGUUUCAUUCCAUUUGUCAUAGAAAAAUAAAAUAAAAUAAAGUGAAGGGUAUCCAGUAAACAUAGCAAAAAGGAAGGGGACAAAUUGAGGCUCCACAAAAAUCCAUCUUUUUCCAUUUUUGCAUAAUUCCAUGAAAUAACAAUUAGUCGCAAUAACAGUUAUUUGGUGUUACCGUUGAAAAUUGUUACGCUUGCAUAUGAUGGAGCAAAUUGAGGCUCAACAGAAAUCCUUCUUUUUCCGUUUUUGCAUAAUUCCAUGAAACAACAAUUAGUCGCAAUAACAGUUAUUUGGUGUUACCAUUGAAAAUUGUUACGCUUGCAUAUGAUGGAGUAUUCUGGGGCAAAGGCAUCAGUAGCCAAUGAUGUCCAAGACGCCCACGGAUACAAGUUCCUUUCUACUAGUUCCGGUCAUUCACAGGAAGUUGUUCAAAGUGUGUUCUCACAGAAUGUUCAAAAUGAUUGCAAUGCUAUGGAUGUGAACCAAAGUCAUUUGGAAGUAGAUGGGAAAAACGCUCCUGUUGAAUCGGCUACUUCGAAAGAGUUUCCUCCAUCUCCAUCUGACAAUUAAAGCAUUUUGGCCUCCUUGUCGUCCCGAUGUGUUCGGAAAGGAACUGUCUGUGAAAGAUCUCAUCUCUUUCGGAUUAAACCAUUGGGUCGUUUUCUCCAAGCUAUGAUGAUAUCUGACUGGAAAACAUUGAUGCCUUUAGUUGAGUAUAUUUUGCAAUACUCAUUUUGGAACUUUUGCAGCUUCGGGAAGAUGGUUACUUGCUUUCACAAUGCAUCCAUUGAUGUUUACUCAGUAUGCCUUUCUCCCUCAAAACUGGAUUUCGUUGCCUUCCUCACUCAGUAUGUGUUGUCAUUUGGAGUCAAGAGUUGUGGUACGAUUGUAACUUAUUCUCCACAUUAUGAACUGAUCUAUGGGAUUUUAGGUGGCCAAAAAAGCAGAGUUGCAUUUGCAAACAUAACUUUCAAGAAGCCUCACAUAUUGUUUCUUGAUGAGCUAUCAGAUCACUUGGAUCUGGACGCUGUGGAGGCCCUGACACAAGGUCUUGUCUUGUUCCAAAGAGGCGUACUGAUGGUUAGUCAUGACGAGCAUUUAACAUCUGGUACUGUUGAUCAACUCUGGCCGUCUCUGAGGGCAGGGUGAUGCCUUUCGAUAGGACAUUCCAUGAUUACAAGAAACUACUGCAAUCUUCAUAAACAGCUAAUUACAAAGGUUGAUUAUUUCUGAAGUGGACGAACUACUAUUAGUUACUUCAUGGUCUAAAACCCCUACUGUAUAGGCAUGAAAAUGACACUUUUUACUGUAUGCAACAGAUGGAGGCAGAAAAGCAGUGAUGCGUUUAAGUUUUUCAAACAAUCCUCAUUUUGCUGUUUUGAUAGAAGUGAUCAUAGUUAGUCAUUUGUCAAUGUGAAUCUUUUUAUCGUUUUAUUUUUCCUUUUAUAAAAACCAAAGACUUAACUUCUAUUUUCAGAUGUGGGGAUUUUCAUUCGACUAUAUGUACCGGAACUUAUAAAGUGCAAAUUCUUUUCAUCUUCUCAAGAGAUGAAUAGCCUUGUUUAAUACACAUAUAUUAAGGAGA
This is an RNA transcript of Lycium ferocissimum, 4328 nucleotides long. It is a transcript of the gene named ABC transporter F family member 3-like, with no coding region annotated. The record is from RefSeq and is a predicted model, not a curated record. The transcript has 3 exons. NCBI's taxonomy places the organism in Eukaryota, Viridiplantae, Streptophyta, Magnoliopsida, Solanales, Solanaceae.